GGGUCCGGGCUCAAGUGCAGCUGGUGGAGUCCGGAGGGGACGUGAGGAAGGCCGGAGACUCUCUGCGCCUCUCCUGCAAAACCACCGGGUUCACUUUCAGAGAUUACUGGAUGUAUUGGUACCGCCAGGCCCCCGGGCAGGGGCUGGAGUGGGUCGCUUACAUCAGCUACAAUGGGGUUACUGUACGGUACCAUGAUAGAGCGAAAGGCCGAUUCACCAUCUCCAGGGACAACUCCAACAGCCUCCUGUCCCUCCAGAUGUCCCGCCUGACGCCCGAGGACACCGCCCGCUACUACUGCGCCAGAGGCGCACAGCGAGAGGAAACCUAG
Non-coding RNA from Pelodiscus sinensis (Chinese soft-shelled turtle), 329 nucleotides. The record is from the annotation of a RefSeq genome assembly. Lineage: Eukaryota; Metazoa; Chordata; Testudines; Trionychidae.